RNAcentral lists this ribosomal RNA (601 nucleotides) under uncultured bacterium. Its description in RNAcentral is "bacterial SSU rRNA". It matches the Rfam family "Bacterial small subunit ribosomal RNA", at positions 732 to 1337 of the family's 1533-position model. The record is from RNAcentral.
GAGUCCAACUGACGCUAAUGCUCGAAGGUGCGGGUAUCGAACAGGAUUAGAUACCCUGGUAGUCCGCACGGUAAACGAUGGAUGCCCGCUGUCGGCUUUAUAAAGCCGGCGGCCAAGCGAAAGCGUUAAGCAUCCCACCUGGGGAGUACGCCGGCAACGGUGAAACUCAAAGGAAUUGACGGGGGCCCGCACAAGCGGAGGAACAUGUGGUUUAAUUCGAUGAUACGCGAGGAACCUUACCCGGGCUUGAACUGCAGCGGAACGCAUGAGAGAUCAUGCGGUCCUUCGGGACUGCUGUGGAGGUGCUGCAUGGUUGUCGUCAGCUCGUGCCGUGAGGUGUCGGCUUAAGUGCCAUAACGAGCGCAACCCCUUUCGUCAGUUGCCAUCAGGUGAUGCUGGGCACUCUGGCGACACUGCCACCGCAAGGUGCGAGGAAGGUGGGGAUGACGUCAAAUCAGCACGGCCCUUACGUCCGGGGCUACACACGUGUUACAAUGGGGCAUACAGAAGGCCGGUUUUCCGCAAGGGAGAUCCAAUCUAAAAAGUGUCCCUCAGUUCGGAUUGGGGUCUGCAACCCGACCCCAUGAAGCUGGAUUCGCUA